Long non-coding RNA from Bubalus bubalis (water buffalo), 1794 nucleotides. RefSeq lists it as uncharacterized. The record is from RefSeq and is a predicted model, not a curated record. The transcript is spliced from 2 exons. Lineage: Eukaryota; Metazoa; Chordata; Mammalia; Artiodactyla; Bovidae.
UUGUCUUUUACAUGUGGAAGUGAAAAAAGCUUAAGAACUCAUACCAUCUACAAAACCUUGAGGUGGAAAAGUUGACCAUGUACUCUAACUGUUUGAAUGACAAAGAGUGAGCCCAAGCAUGGGAAAUAAGAGUACAAAAGGCUGGAUGGUGUGCACUGAAAGCAAUUAAUACAAAGAUUCAUAUAAAUAAAUGUGAUUGCAAAUUAAAUACAACCUCGUCUGGAACACUCAAAACAAAUAAAAAGCAAAGAUGAUUUAACAGAAAGUUGGGAUUUUAAAAUGAGAAAAAUUAAUAACAUUUCAUGACGACACUUGAGGUUGACCUUGACAGUGAAGGGGUCACACUGACAUAGUUGUGGUAAGAGAGCAUACAGGUGCAACUCUUUAAUAUGUACUAAUAACCUUGAAAAUUGUUCAACUCUUCCCAGUUAAUUAUUCCACUUAUAGGAAACAAUCCUGAGACCCAAAUAAAUUGUGCCACACACACAAAAAAAUCUGUCUAUUAAGAUUUUCAAGGCAACAUAAAGUACAGAACUCACAAAAAUUGAAAAGAUAUUCAAUAAGAGAGGAAUAAUUAAAUUCUAGUAUACCCAUAGAAUAUAAUUUCAUGCAGCCAUUAAAGUCAUGAUGGAGAAAAAAUUUAGUGACAUGAAAAUGUGUAUGAUAUGAGGGGAAUAGUGAUAACAGCUAACAUUUAUUAUUAUAAGUGUCCAGCAAGUGUCAGGUACUUCUCCAAAGGCCUUAGGUCUUUGCAUCAUUUACUCCUCAAAAGACCUGAAAGCAGUUGUAUGAGUAUCAUCCCCAAUGAUGUACUGAGGAAACAAAGUCUUAGAGCUGAUUUGCUCUGUGCCCCACAAAUCAUUAAGUGAUAUGCUAAGUCAUGACCGUCAGACCACCUGAUGCAAGGUCUGUGCUCCUGAGAGCUCUCCUGCCUGGAGACUCUCAGAACACCACGCUCUCAGCUAUGUUAAAAAAAAAAAAAAAAAGUAUAUGCACAUUCAGAAAAAAUCCUGGCUGGACAUACCCUGAAACCUUAACAGUGAUUGCCUCUGAGUGAUGAGGUUAUAGAUCACUUUCAUUUUCUUCUUCAAAUCAGUCUUUAAUUUUAAAUCGUCCUGGCAGUGAACAUUAGUCAAUAAUCAAGAAGAAAAAUUUUCAUGAAGUGGAGAGGCCAUUUCCAUACACAGAUUUGUACACCCGGGGGAAAAAAAUAAUAACUCAAAAGGCAGAGCUAAAAAUGGAAUUCCAAAGUGUUGCCUGGAAAUUAGUGGGAGUUCAAAGGAGUUAAAUAAAAGAUGGAAAAUUGGAGAAGGGCCAUUGCUAAAUCUUUAAGCUCUUCCAAAAGGUUUCUCUGUGCGGUUGUUGGUUUCUAUCUCUCAGCCCUCAGCUUAACUGAUGAGCGUUUACGUAGUUACUGAGAACUAAAGAGUCACUCUGAGGCUCCAAACGUAGGAGUCUGGUGGUUGCUGUUGUUAUUUUGUUUUAAUGGAUUUGUUUAUUGGCCUGACAAAUGAAUUUACUAUCAGCGGGCCCUUUUUUCCCCUUUCAGUUUUAUUAUCUUUUUUUUUUUUUUUUUUUAAAUCAGGCAACACUUUGUUGAACAAUCCUGACCCUGAAGAAUGCUUGCUGGCACGUUGUCCAAGAAAUCUAGCAGAAGUUUGUAUGAUUAUCUUUAUGACAAUGCACCUGCCCUACAAUAAGCUUCUUGGAACCUGAAGCACAGGAGGGAUGGUUUCAAGCCAUGGUUCUCUGUUUUCCACUUCACUGGACUUGCAAGAGCCUCUUUGAGAUGAU